Molecule: non-coding RNA, 354 nt
Organism: Microcebus murinus (gray mouse lemur)
Lineage: Eukaryota; Metazoa; Chordata; Mammalia; Primates; Cheirogaleidae
Source: RefSeq, a predicted model, not a curated record
GGUGAAGCGACUGGCCUAGUGUCACACAGACGGGGUGGGGCAGAGCGUUUCCCAAACCACGUGGCCAUGGAAGCCUUUUCUGGACCAGAGUUGAUGCAUAAAGAUGUGAGCCCUGCCUGGGGCUAUGCGGCAAGGCGGCGGGGCAACCCCUGAGGAAGGAGGGACUCUGCCUCAGUGUGCAGGAGAGCAAGUGGCUCAGAGAGAUUGAACCAUGAGCCUGGGUCACACAGCAUGGAGAUGGGGAAACUGAGGCUCAGAGCAAUUAAAGAAGGUAUCCUGAGCACGCAGCUACAGGCCAGGGGCAGGGCCAGGAUCCCUGCAGGCCCCGCGGGCAGCUCUGCCCCGCCCGCCGCA